GUCGAGCAAGGAUGAAAAUCGGACUUAGUGAUCCGGUGGUUCUGCGUGGAAGGGCCAUCGCUCAACGGAUAAAAGCUACCCUGGGGAUAACAGGCUUAUCUCCCCCAAGAGUCCACAUCGACGGGGAGGUUUGGCACCUCGAUGUCGGCUCAUCACAUCCUGGGGCUGUAGUAGGUCCCAAGGGUUGGGCUGUUCGCCCAUUAAAGUGGUACGCGAGCUGGGUGCAGAACGUCGUGAGACAGUUCGGUCCCUAUCCGUCGCAGGCGUAGGAAAUUUGAGAAGACCUGUCCUUAGUACGAGAGGACCGGGAUGGACGUACCUCUGGUGUACCAGUUGUCCUGCCAAGGGCAUGGCUGGGUAGCUAUGU
Molecule: ribosomal RNA, 367 nt
Filed under: Clostridioides difficile
Lineage: Bacteria; Bacillati; Bacillota; Clostridia; Peptostreptococcales; Peptostreptococcaceae
Description: partial 23S ribosomal RNA
Rfam family: Bacterial large subunit ribosomal RNA
Source: RNAcentral